Molecule: unclassified non-coding RNA, 218 nt
Filed under: Hevea brasiliensis (rubber tree)
Lineage: Eukaryota; Viridiplantae; Streptophyta; Magnoliopsida; Malpighiales; Euphorbiaceae
Source: RNAcentral
AAGAUUUCGGCUUUGUUUAAGUUCUGGUAUAGUUAAGUUGAAGGAAGAAGUAGCAAAGAGGCUUAAGUUAGAGCUUGGCACUUUCUACAUCAAGUAUCUAGACGAUGAUCUUGAGUUCGUUCCUAUUUCUUGUGAUGCUGAUUUGCAGGAAUGUGUCGAUAUCUCAAGAUCAUCGGGGAGCAGUAUCGUGAGGUUGUUGAUUCAUGAUAUUAUGUCCA